This 19-nucleotide ribosomal RNA is filed under the name Leptodontidium cf. elatius A9/1/4/A2. RNAcentral describes it as "partial 28S ribosomal RNA". Lineage: Eukaryota; Fungi; Ascomycota; Leotiomycetes; Helotiales; Leptodontidiaceae. The record is from RNAcentral.
CAGGUAGGGAUACCCGCUG